AACGAACGCUGGCGGCAUGCCUAACACAUGCAAGUCGAACGAGACCUUCGGGUCUAGUGGCGCACGGGUGCGUAACACGUGGGAAUCUGCCCUUUGCUUCGGAAUAACAGUUAGAAAUGACUGCUAAUACCGGAUGAUGUCGAAAGACCAAAGAUCUAUCGGCAAAGGAUGAGCCCGCGUAGGAUUAGGUAGUUGGUGGGGUAAAGGCCUACCAAGCCGACGAUCCUUAGCUGGUCUGAGAGGAUGAUCAGCCACACUGGGACUGAGACACGGCCCAGACUCCUACGGGAGGCAGCAGAAGGGAAUAUUGGACAAUGGGCGAAAGCCUGAUCCAGCAAUGCCGCGUAAGUGAUGAAGGCCUUAGGGUUGUAAAGCUCUUUUACCAGAGAUGAUAAUGACAGUACCUGGAGAAUAAGCUCCGGCUAACUCCGUG
RNAcentral lists this ribosomal RNA (433 nucleotides) under uncultured bacterium. RNAcentral's name for it is "partial 16S ribosomal RNA". It matches the Rfam family "Bacterial small subunit ribosomal RNA", at positions 29 to 507 of the family's 1533-position model. The record is from RNAcentral.